Molecule: ribosomal RNA, 467 nt
Filed under: uncultured bacterium
Lineage: Bacteria
Description: partial 16S ribosomal RNA
Rfam family: Bacterial small subunit ribosomal RNA
Source: RNAcentral
GACGAACGCUGGCGGCGUGCUUAACACAUGCAAGUCGAACGGAAAGGCCCUGCUUUUGUGGGGUGCUCGAGUGGCGAACGGGUGAGUAACACGUGAGUAACCUGCCCUUGACUUUGGGAUAACUUCAGGAAACUGGGGCUAAUACCGGAUAGGAGCUCCUGCUGCAUGGGGGGGGUUGGAAAGUUUCGGCGGUUGGGGAUGGACUCGCGGCUUAUCAGCUUGUUGGUGGGGUAGUGGCUUACCAAGGCUUUGACGGGUAGCCGGCCUGAGAGGGUGACCGGCCACAUUGGGACUGAGAUACGGCCCAGACUCCUACGGGAGGCAGCAGUGGGGAAUAUUGCACAAUGGGCGGAAGCCUGAUGCAGCAACGCCGCGUGCGGGAUGACGGCCUUCGGGUUGUAAACCGCUUUCGCCUGUGACGAAGCGUGAGUGACGGUAAUGGGUAAAGAAGCACCGGCUAACUACGU